GCAGAUGAGCAAUAUCUCCGUGAUCUUGAGACCUGUACUUUCCUGGUUGAGCUGCAGCUUGAUCGACCUUACCCUUCACGCGGAAGUGACUUGUCAACUUGGGAGCCUAUUGCAGCAUAUCCUUAUCUAGACAGAGAGCUCUCACCUCCCAUGUACAGAUCAUUUUUCAUCCCAUAUCUGUGGCAAGAGAAGAAUGUUUUUGGCUUGUACAAGCUGUUCAAAAGAAUACCAAAAUGACAUGCAUGCGGUUUGCUGAACAACUGCAUUUCUUGUAGUUCAAAAUUUUGAUGCCUAAAAGCUAUUAAUAGCUGAAAUUUGAUCUCAAAACCUGAAGGAGGAAAUCCCAACAGAAAUCGUAGUUGUUGAAUGCUUUUUUUUUUU
Molecule: unclassified non-coding RNA, 381 nt
Filed under: Hevea brasiliensis (rubber tree)
Lineage: Eukaryota; Viridiplantae; Streptophyta; Magnoliopsida; Malpighiales; Euphorbiaceae
Source: RNAcentral